This 253-nucleotide ribosomal RNA is filed under the name uncultured bacterium. Its description in RNAcentral is "partial 16S ribosomal RNA". It matches the Rfam family "Bacterial small subunit ribosomal RNA", at positions 524 to 776 of the family's 1533-position model. The record is from RNAcentral.
UACAGAGGGUGCGAGCGUUAAUCGGAAUUACUGGGCGUAAAGCGUGCGUAGACGGUUAUUUAAGUCGGGUGUGAAAGCCCCGGGCUCAACCUGGGAAUUGCGUUCGAGACUGAAUAGCUAGGGUACGGUAGAGGGAAGUGGAAUUUCCGGUGUAGCGGUGAAAUGCGUAGAUAUCGGAAGGAACAUCAGUGGCGAAAGCGACUUCCUGGACCAGUACCGACGUUCAGGCACGAAAGCGUGGGGAGCAAACAGG